UCUCCCUCUGCCAGUCUGACAUCUCCCUAAAAUUCACUCUCCAUUCCGACAGAGAAAGGUACAAUCUUAGGGCAGGAACCAUGGAAACAGGUUAACAUGCUCCAACUACAUUGUGGACUAGGCCCACGCCUAUGCUGAGGUGACCAAUGUUUCCAUCUGUUGGAUCUGCACUGCCCUUCCAGCAGCAGCUGCAGACGGCAUGCCUUGGCACAUGCAUUCAGCAUCUGCAGAGAAUUGGACAUGGCUGGAGACAUGCAACACAGCAAGCUUUGGACAAAGGACACUGUAAGACCCACAGCACAUCUGCCGCCUUGCAGGCCUUUUGUGUUUAUGAUGAAUGGGGCUGGCUAGUGGGGGAACGUGUAGUACCCCCAGCCCAGGUACUGUGGUGCAUAGAGCAACAUUGGAGCAACACUCCCGUGAGAUAGGUACCUGUCAUGGCCUGUGCAAACAUAACACAUGUCACCACACUUAAGGUAUGGUGGAACAAGCGGCCCCACCAAGGUUGGGCCCCAAUAGAUUUUGUGCUCCCUGGGAUUUGAUGGGUCUGUGGGGACAAGGGUGGCCUUAACUACCAGCAAACUGGACUGGAUGUUGUACCUGGGGGUGGCCUUAUGUACCUGCCACUGUUCUCCCCAUGUUGCCCAGAUGGCCUGCAUAACUGGGAGGUGCUAUGCUGUCGGUUUGUGCAAGUGUGAUGAGC
This is a non-coding RNA of Saimiri boliviensis boliviensis (Bolivian squirrel monkey), 703 nucleotides long. Lineage: Eukaryota; Metazoa; Chordata; Mammalia; Primates; Cebidae. The record is from RefSeq and is a predicted model, not a curated record.